Molecule: ribosomal RNA, 253 nt
Filed under: uncultured bacterium
Lineage: Bacteria
Description: partial 16S ribosomal RNA
Rfam family: Bacterial small subunit ribosomal RNA
Source: RNAcentral
UACGUAGGGUGCAAGCGUUGUCCGGAAUUAUUGGGCGUAAAGAGCUCGUAGGCGGUCUGUCGCGUCGGAUGUGAAAAUCCAGGGCUCAACCCUGGACCUGCAUUCGAUACGGGCAGACUAGAGUUCGGUAGGGGAGACUGGAAUUCCUGGUGUAGCGGUGAAAUGCGCAGAUAUCAGGAGGAACACCGGUGGCGAAGGCAGGUCUCUGGGCCACUACUGACGCUGAGAAGCGAAAGCAUGGGGAGCGAACAGG